RNAcentral lists this ribosomal RNA (233 nucleotides) under uncultured Campylobacter sp. Its description in RNAcentral is "partial 16S ribosomal RNA". It matches the Rfam family "Bacterial small subunit ribosomal RNA", at positions 507 to 743 of the family's 1533-position model. Lineage: Bacteria; Pseudomonadati; Campylobacterota; Epsilonproteobacteria; Campylobacterales; Campylobacteraceae. The record is from RNAcentral.
UUCUGCGCGGUAAUACGGAGGGUGCAAGCGUUACUCGGAAUCACUGGGCGUAAAGGGGCGCGUAGGCGGAUUAUCAAGUCUCUUGUGAAAUCUAAUGGCUUAACCAUUAAACUGCUUGGGAAACUGAUAGUCUAGAGUGAGGGAGAGGCAGAUGGAAUUGGUGGUGUAGGGGUAAAAUCCGUAGAUAUCACCAAGAAUACCCAUGCGAAGGCGAUCUGCUGGAACUCAACUGA